UCCCGUGUAGCUCAGCGGUAGAGCNNUCGCCUGUUAAGCGAUGGGUCGCUGGUUCGAAUCCAGCCGCGGGAGCCA
This 75-nucleotide transfer RNA is filed under the name Patescibacteria group bacterium. RNAcentral describes it as "tRNA-Asn". It matches the Rfam family "tRNA". Rfam says of the family: Transfer RNA (tRNA) molecules are approximately 80 nucleotides in length. Their secondary structure includes four short double-helical elements and three loops (D, anti-codon, and T loops). The record is from RNAcentral.